UUUAAAAAAGAAAGAAAGGCUGAGACCAGUUCAGGCCUUUCCUUUCUCCUGGCGACACCUAGAGCCUGUUGAGGGGAAAUUCCACUGUUCUCAAUCCAAACACCCACAAUUCAAUCCCUUUAAGUCAGAUUCCAAGAAAAAGUGCACCUUACUGUCUGCACUGCAGCUCAGUCGUCUUCUCAAGACUCCUAAUAAUUUUGUCCUCAAGUGUUUUCCAUCCUUUCCAAGGGACUUCAGUCCUUCAACCAGAGGUCUGAAGAAUGCAGCCAUUUUCCUUGGGACCUGGUCCACUGGAUUGAGCUGCAUCUCUUUGCUGUCUGUCUAUCUAACCAAGGGAUUCUAGAAAUGAUCCGAGACAUAACUAAAAAUCAUCACAAGCCCUGAUGCCGGUUACGCCUCUGUGUGCCCGAGUGUGCAAAGCACAUCUCCCACAGACUUUGCCAUCUCUGUGAAAGCCUUCCUAUUGCAGGUUCUCUAUCAUCAAACAAAACAAAACUACCAGUAAGAACAUUACCUCGCUGCUUUUGUAUCGAAAUUUGAAAAUUAUUUCCAUGGAAAUACCCCCACACACACACAAACACACUUCUUGCACAAAGAAACACCAAUGAUAAGGCAAUGUGACCCAAGAGGAGACCCGUUGAAUGGCUACGACCUCCUGCUCGCUGGGUGCAGGCAGACGCACGCCGCCCUGGGAGUGUGAGGAAGACUGGAGGCUUGGGCAAGGACCCCACGUGCUGCACAACUGCUCAAAGAGACCCCAAUAAGGAGACCGCUCAAAGGCGCAGGAAGUGGCUUCUACAAGCCAGCCCUGCACUCUGAACCUUUAAAAGGGAUUCGACCUGUCAUCUCAGGAGCCAGCUCCCACCCCGCAGGAGUCAUCGGUUACUAGGGCGAUAUGCAAAUUAAACUCUUGAAACCCAGGCUUCCAGCCCGAGAAGAGUAGGACUCUGCUCUGAGAGAAGUUUUCAGGGCACAGGCAGUCUGCAGACUUGCUAGCCCAAGGGUAGGAGCUGGAAGAUGGGCACCACCUGGUGCCUAUCAGCAAAACUGUGCUGGGCCUGGGGCAGGGCUUGGGGGCCCAGGCUAGUACUUUUAUAUUUUUCCCAAAAAGAUCACUGCCGCCACCACCACUGGAGGAGAAAGUGUCUGGUGGUAUCUUCAUCAAGGGACAGAGUAGGGAGGCGGAGGGGGCGCCGUGGGUAAAAUCUAGUGACAGGUGAAAGGAGGGGACUUGAUGAUCCCCGAGCCUUAAAGCAGGACAAUGAAUUUCUUUGAGAAAACAAGUCAACUUGUAAGCGCAGGCAGAUCUAAUUCCUUCCUCGGACCCACAGCAACCUGCGUUAGAAGCAGAAAUUCACGCCUCCAGGGAGCCCGAGCGCAUUCCAGACCCCAGCUCCAAAGCCCUGCUAGCUUCGGCCACGAACUCCCGGCCCCUCCACGGCAGGCAGACCCGCUCCAGAGGGCGGCGACCGCGACCCAGCGCUCUGGAGCUGGUCGGAGCCCACGGGGCCCAGAGCAGGGGAGGGGACCAGGAAAGGGCGACCGGCCGCCGACCCCCAGCCCGCGCGUCCCCGAUGCGCCCGGCCCGAGCCCGCUGCCGCCCCGCCCUCUGCGGUGCGCUUACCUCCUCCUCGUCCCCGUCGCUCCGCGCCUGGUACUGGAACCGGGGCCGGCCGCCCGCGCCCCCUCCGCCGCCGCCGCGCUCCCGGGGCGCAGCCCCUGCGCCUGCGGGCCGAGGGGCUUGGCCGCGCCGCCGCCGUCGUCCUCCGGGCCCCUGGGCGCCCAGGAGGUGGCUGGCCCUCGGGGAGCGGCGCGGGGAAGGAGCGCGACGUGUUGAUCUUGCCCGUGAAACGCUGAUACAGCGAAGCCAUCGGGCCCGCGCGCUCUCGCCCGUGCUCUGGAAUAUUUGCUCUGGGGUGCUUUGGAAUAUUUUGCUUUCUCUGCUGUCUCUCGGUUUCCCGCGCCCCACCCCCUCCAGAAAGAAAGAAAAAAAGAAACAGGAGGCAGUAGGGAAGAAGAAGCGGCAGAAGAAAGGCGAGCCUGCGGCGGCCGCUGCUCUGCGCGCCACUCUGAAGUCGCCGCCGGGCGCCUCCGCCUGGCUCAGCCUCCUGCGCCCCCUCGCGCGGCUCCGCCAAGGCCGGGUCGGCGUGUGUGCGCUUUCUCUUUGCUCCUUUUUUAUUUUUUUUAACUCCUUGCCACGGCCACGUACGGCCUAAUCAAAGAGAUGGAAGGAGAGGGGGGAAAACCCCCCCCAAAAAAUCAAGGGAGGGAGAAAGCCUAGGCCCAGUUAUUUGGCACCACCUAGAGACCGCACGUCCAGAGCGCAUCUCCACGCUCCCCCGCCCGGCCCCCCGCGCGGCUCCUCCUUCGCUCUCCACAGCCAGACGGCGGGAGAAGCGGGAGCACCUGGGAUCCCAGCAACUUUUCCCAACUUGCUCAGUCGGUUCCCUCCUCCCCAGCCCCACACCGAAAAGAAGCCACAGGGGCAUGGUGACCCCACACGUUGUGCACCACCCAGG
Long non-coding RNA from Heterocephalus glaber (naked mole-rat), 2519 nucleotides. NCBI's taxonomy places the organism in Eukaryota, Metazoa, Chordata, Mammalia, Rodentia, Bathyergidae. The record is from Ensembl.